GACGAACGCUGGCGGCGUGCUUAACACAUGCAAGUCGAACGAUGAAGCCUUCGGGUGGAUUAGUGGCGAACGGGUGAGUAACACGUGGGUGAUCUGCCCUGCACUUUGGGAUAAGCCUGGGAAACUGGGUCUAAUACCGAAUAGGACUCCGCGCUUCAUGGCGUGGGGUGGAAAGCUUUUGCGGUGUGGGAUGGGCCCGCGGCCUAUCAGCUUGUUGGUGGGGUAAUGGCCUACCAAGGCGACGACGGGUAGCCGGCCUGAGAGGGUGACCGGCCACACUGGGACUGAGAUACGGCCCAGACUCCUACGGGAGGCAGCAGUGGGGAAUAUUGCACAAUGGGCGCAAGCCUGAUGCAGCGACGCCGCGUGAGGGAUGACGGCCUCGGU
RNAcentral lists this ribosomal RNA (387 nucleotides) under uncultured bacterium. Its description in RNAcentral is "bacterial SSU rRNA". It matches the Rfam family "Bacterial small subunit ribosomal RNA", at positions 28 to 423 of the family's 1533-position model. The record is from RNAcentral.